AUUCAGGAUGGCUGGCGAAAAUAGGAAAGACAAGAAAACUCUGAUUAUAAUUCUGGUCUUAGCUGUUUUAGGAAGCAUCAUAGCUUUGGUUGUGAAUUCCCUCAAAAGAAUAGAUACAUGGGAAGGAAUAACUAGCUGUGAUACUAGCGACAGUCAUUCGAAAUGGUUUCCAAAAUCGUCUUUGUCCUUGCAGUGUUUCUUGUGAUGUCUACUGUGAUUCCCGAAUUCGAAGCUUACGGCCGUUGCAGAAAAUUGGGUGAACCUUGUGAGAAACGUGGUUGUUGUUUCUGCUGUCCAGGAUUGGAGUGCAGAGUGACUAACGGUGGCCAAGGGUUUGAUUCGAGAUGUUUCAGGAAGAGUUGAAUGGAUGCUAUGAUAAACAUAAAGUGAAUAAAUGCUUCAUUUAACACUGUAAUUUAAAAAGACAAAUAAACUAUCAUAAUAAAUUCCA
Molecule: unclassified non-coding RNA, 451 nt
Filed under: Actinia tenebrosa (Australian red waratah sea anemone)
Lineage: Eukaryota; Metazoa; Cnidaria; Anthozoa; Actiniaria; Actiniidae
Description: uncharacterized LOC116297920, transcript variant X2
Source: RNAcentral